AGGACGAACGCUGGCGGCAUGCUUAACACAUGCAAGUCGAACGGAUGUAGCAAUACAUUAGUGGCGAACGGGUGAGUAACACGUGAGCAACCUGCCCUAUACCUUGGGAUAACUCAAAGAAAUUUGAGCUAAUACCGAAUAAGACCCCUCUAUCGCAUGAUAGAGAGGCAAAAGCGAAAUAGCGGUAAAGGAUGGGCUCGCGUCCCAUUAGCUAGUUGGUGAGAUAAAAGCUUACCAAGGCGAUGAUGGGUAGCCGACCUGAGAGGGUGAUCGGCCACACUGGAACUGAGACACGGUCCAGACUCCUACGGGAGGCAGCAGUGGGGAAUAUUGGGCAAUGGAGGCAACUCUGACCCAGCAAUGCCGCGUGAGUGAAGAAGGUCUCCGGAUUGUAAAGCUCUUUGAUUAGGGAUGAAGGAAAUGACAUUACCUAAAGAACAAGCCCCGGCUAACUACGUGCCAGCCGCCGC
RNAcentral lists this ribosomal RNA (470 nucleotides) under uncultured bacterium. RNAcentral's name for it is "bacterial SSU rRNA". It matches the Rfam family "Bacterial small subunit ribosomal RNA", at positions 26 to 518 of the family's 1533-position model. The record is from RNAcentral.